Molecule: long non-coding RNA, 386 nt
Filed under: Pan troglodytes (chimpanzee)
Lineage: Eukaryota; Metazoa; Chordata; Mammalia; Primates; Hominidae
Description: long non-coding RNA NONPTRT001019
Source: RNAcentral
AGAGAGGCACACCCCUGUGAGGCAGUUAGGGCCAGGACCCAGGUCUGAUCCCCCGCUUGGGUCCCUGGGCCUGGCUCCAUCUCUAGAAACCAACAAUGGAGGGGACCAAGGAAAUCAAGGUCUCAAAUAGAAGAAUACAGGAGCACUGGACAGGGGCCGUGCUUUUCCUGCUGGUGACUGUCAUUGUCAAUAUCAAGUUGAUCCUGGACACUCGGCGAGCCAUCAGUGAAGCCAAUGAAGACCCAGAGCCAGAGCAAGACUAUGAUGAGGCCCUAGGCCGCCUGGAGCCCCCACGGCGCAGAGGCAGUGGUCCCCGGCGGGUCCUGGACGUAGAGGUGUAUUCAAGUCGCAGCAAAGUAUAUGUGGCAGUGGAUGGCACCACGGUC